GGAUUAAUUACCUCUGGGACACAAUCUAUUGAAUCAGAAACAUCCGAUACUGCUUCCAGUACAUCUGGUUUUCCAAGCACUGCUUCUGGCUCAUCAUUUAUGUACUCGUUUCCAUCACAAAUAGGUCCAUCCAGAUCAGUCUUAUAUAGCUCCACCACAGCAGAUUUUACAUCAAUAGCCUUAUCCUUUAUUUUGUGAUUAUUCCGCUUCUGCUUAGCCUGCUUUUUCUUGGACUUCUUUUCCUUUCCAGAUGCUCGUUUAGCUUUCUGCUCAGUUUCAGCCAGCCCAGCAGCUUCCUCUUCACGGAUGAGCUCUUCUUGCCUCUUUAAAGCAACAGCCUCCUGAUAUGCAACCUCUAUUUUACUGAA
RNAcentral lists this unclassified non-coding RNA (368 nucleotides) under Hevea brasiliensis (rubber tree). The record is from RNAcentral. Lineage: Eukaryota; Viridiplantae; Streptophyta; Magnoliopsida; Malpighiales; Euphorbiaceae.